AAUGAAUGGUGAAAAACUGUCUUGGUCCAAAUGUUAGAUACUGAUUAUACAGUUAAUGUUUGUAUCUGACAUU
Manis pentadactyla (Chinese pangolin) is the source of this 73-nucleotide small nucleolar RNA. RefSeq annotates it as small nucleolar RNA SNORD73. The transcript has a single exon. Lineage: Eukaryota; Metazoa; Chordata; Mammalia; Pholidota; Manidae. The record is from RefSeq and is a predicted model, not a curated record.